UUUCGCUGGAGAAGAGUGCGAGUCGGGCGACUAGUGGGAGCGCUCAACUACUAAAGUUGGACGCCGCAUUUGCCAAUUGAAACAUUCAAAUGUGAAUACCGUACGGGUGAAGACGUCUUCUGUUCGGAUUGGCUCCUCAGUUUACAAGCAAAACCCCAUGGAGACAUAAAAACGAAGUAAC
This is a long non-coding RNA of Drosophila innubila, 181 nucleotides long. RefSeq lists it as uncharacterized. The transcript has 2 exons. The record is from RefSeq and is a predicted model, not a curated record. NCBI's taxonomy places the organism in Eukaryota, Metazoa, Arthropoda, Insecta, Diptera, Drosophilidae.